This 244-nucleotide ribosomal RNA is filed under the name uncultured bacterium. Its description in RNAcentral is "partial 16S ribosomal RNA". It matches the Rfam family "Bacterial small subunit ribosomal RNA", at positions 107 to 354 of the family's 1533-position model. The record is from RNAcentral.
UGCGUAACGCGUAUGCAACCUACCAUCAACAGGGGGAUAACACUGAGAAAUUGGUACUAAUACCCCAUAAUAUCUCAUGCGGCAUCGCAUGGGGUUGAAAACUCCGGUGGUUGAUGAUGGGCAUGCGUUGUAUUAGCUGGUUGGUGAGGUAACGGCUCACCAAGGCGACGAUACAUAGGGGGACUGAGAGGUUAACCCCCCACAUUGGACUGAGACACGGCCAAACUCCUACGGAAGGCAGCAG